GCCAAUAACGAGCCACCUAAUGAGUCGGCAAGAUGAGUGAAGCGGAACUGACUCAAUCUGCCUCUAACAAAGGUGGUCCGGUUACUCCAGUCUCAUGGACUAAUCUUGCUACCUUCAAAGUGGUUACUAAUCGUACAUUAUUCCGCAAGGCAAAAGAAUGGAUGGUAUAUUUUACAGAGGAAUGUUUGAAAGCUUGGCCAGACGUGAGUCAAGAUGAUCCACCUCAACUUUUCUGCAAGGCUGGUAACUCUUUCACCCACCAGGCAUGUAUUUCUUUAAUGACCUCUUGUUUAGUCAAUGGUCAUUAUCUCUCUUUUUCCCAUAUAAAUACUGGUGACCCUUUUGGGACACUCCAUUUGCCUCAGUUAUCACAUUUCAUUUUCACAACACUAUAAGGUAAUUAUCUUCAAAAGAGAAUUAGCUAUUACUGGCCUUAAUUUGGUACCACGUAUGUUUUUUCUACAGUCAGUUUAUUUCUCUUAUCACACCGGCUUUGUUGAUUUUACUUUUGAAGUGCUGCACUAGAUUACUCUUGUGCACAUUGCUCUUACUACGCCGACUUGCUUUUGAAGUGAUACACAUCCAUUGUUUAAAUUCGCCAGCAUCAUUAUGGUCGGAUCCUAUGCACAUUGUUCUUAUUGCAACAACUUGCUUUUGAAGUGCUCUACUGUUCUUAGCAUGUCCCAGUGCUGUGACCUGUGCAUAAGCAGUACAUCACCAUGAUAAAUUCUCUUCCAGUUUUAUUAUUCGAUUCAUGUGCACAUCGUUUGAGCUAUUUGCAAAAGUUAUCUAUUAUCUAUAGAAGAUCUAUGGUGCACAUAUGUUUCCUUGGUUUUCCAUUUCGUCAUUCUUUUGUUUGCCAUAUCGCAUUUUGUAUCUGAUGUGUAUGGUAAUUCAGUCUUGUCAGGAUUGAUGUUGUUCUUUGCACUUCUUCACGCUGCCAUUAAUAACCACCCAGCCUCUUUGCAGGUGAUCCUGAUGGCACAGUCUCCCAUACAGUGCCUGGUAGCUUGACUACUCUUGCUAAAAAUUCAGCGAUUCCAUCAGUCAAAUAGCCAUAAUGUCUAUCCUCCAUAUAUGAUCAUACGGGGUAGGCAGUGCCUCAAUGUAAACUUUCUCUUCUUCAUCAUAACUGAAGCCGUUCAAGAGGUCUAUGAUAUUUAAGUUGUCAAAAUCAAUAUGACCAGUAGGCUGGACCAUCUCUUGCUGUGGUGGUGCAUUAGGUUGCUGUGGAUGGGGUUGCUACACUGAACAACAGAUGGAGUUGAAGUAAUUACUCAGUUCUCUACACUGAUCCUUUGUCACGUCCGUACACAGAAGCAGGUCUAGCAUUAUUGAUCUCCCAUUCAUUGCCUGUAAUAGGUUUUGUAGGGUCACAACUUGUCAGGAAAAUGAACUUGUAUUUUCAAUAUCUGUUGGCUAAUGGUCUAGUGUAGCAUGAAGCAAUUAGCAAAUUGUAGUUAGAUGCCACAAUAAGCAUUUCUCGUGGGAGAAUUUACCUCCAAUUUAUCAGCAUAUGCUUGACGAUAACUACAGAAAGACUCGCUAGAAGGGCGUGCCAAAUAUUACCCUGCUGAGAAAUUUAAUGAUAUAUCAGAACCACGAUCUCUACGAAAACAAGCACAUCAUGGGUAGCUGGUAGCUAGAACUAGUAUGUAUGCUGGCAUCCUAAUGCAACAUCUAUAUGUGAAUUUGAAAAGAGUAUUACGUACAAACUACUUGGUCGGUUCAAUACAAAGUAUCAUCAAACAACAAAAGAAAAAAAGACACGUCUCAAGAGCUGUAGCAGAUUGUAUUAAGUAGAAAGGACCCAAAAAUAGGAGAAAAGAAGGUCAAUACCGUUUCCGUGGUCCUUGGAUCUCCGACAGUGAUCUCUUUUGAGGCUUUAGUACUAGCAGACUGAA
Molecule: non-coding RNA, 1904 nt
Organism: Aegilops tauschii subsp. strangulata
Lineage: Eukaryota; Viridiplantae; Streptophyta; Magnoliopsida; Poales; Poaceae
Source: RefSeq, a predicted model, not a curated record